GAUGAACGCUAGCGGGAGGCUUAACACAUGCAAGUCGAGGGGCAGCAUAGGGUAGCAAUACUCUGAUGGCGACCGGCAAACGGGUGAGUAACGCGUAUGCAACCUACCCUGUACAGGGGGAUAACCCGGAGAAAUUCGGACUAAUAUCCCGUAAUAAUAUCCGGAGGCAUCUUUGGAUAUUUAAAGUUCCGACGGUACGGGAUGGGCAUGCGUAACAUUAGCUGGUUGGUAAGGUAACGGCUUACCAAGGCUAUGAUGUUUAGGGGUCCUGAGAGGGUGGUCCCCCACACUGGUACUGAGACACGGACCAGACUCCUACGGGAGGCAGCAGUGAGGAAUAUUGGUCAAUGGGCGCAAGCCUGAACCAGCCAUCCCGCGUGCAGGAAGACGGCCCUAUGGGUUGUAAACUGCUUUUCCAGGGAGAGAAACUUACGCACGUGUUGCGUGACUGACGGUACCCUGGGAAUAAGCAUCGGCUAACUCCGUGCCAGCAGCCGGGGUAAAAGUCACGUCG
This 514-nucleotide ribosomal RNA is filed under the name uncultured bacterium. Its description in RNAcentral is "bacterial SSU rRNA". It matches the Rfam family "Bacterial small subunit ribosomal RNA", at positions 28 to 534 of the family's 1533-position model. The record is from RNAcentral.